ACCGGCAAACGGGUGCGGAACACGUACACAACCUUCCUUCAAGUGGGGAAUAGCCCAGGGAAACUUGGAUUAAUACCCCGUAAUAUUAUGGAGUGGCAUCACUUUAUAAUUAUAGCUCCGGCGCUUGAUGAUGGGUGUGCGCCUGAUUAGGUAGUUGGCGGGGUAACGGCCCACCAAGCCUUCGAUCAGUAACUGGUGUGAGAGCACGACCAGUCACACGGGCACUGAGACACGGGCCCGACUCCUACGGGAGGCAGCAGUAAGGAAUAUUGGUCAAUGGACGCAAGUCUGAACCAGCCAUGCCGCGUGAAGGAUGAAGGCCCUCUGGGUUGUAAACUUCUUUUAUCUGGGAAGAAAUCUACUUUUUCUAAAGUGGUUGACGGUACCAGAGGAAUAAGCACCGGCUAACUCCGUGCCAGCAGCCGCGGUAAUACGGAGGGUGCAAGCGUUAUCCGGAUUCACUGGGUUUAAAGGGUGCGUAGGUGGGUUGGUAAGUCAGUGGUGAAAUCUCCAAGCUUAACUUGGAAACUGCCAUUGAUACUAUCAGUCUUGAAUACCGUGGAGGUCAGCGGAAUAUGUCAUGUAGCGGUGAAAUGCUUAGAUAUGACAUAGAACACCCAUUGCGAAGGCAGCUGACUACGCGGAGAUUGACACUGAGGCACGAAAGCGUGGGGAUCAAACAGGAUUAGAUACCCUGGUAGUCCACGCCCUAAACGAUG
RNAcentral lists this ribosomal RNA (719 nucleotides) under uncultured bacterium. RNAcentral's name for it is "bacterial SSU rRNA". It matches the Rfam family "Bacterial small subunit ribosomal RNA", at positions 94 to 811 of the family's 1533-position model. The record is from RNAcentral.